ACUGGCUCUCAGCCAUCCUUUGUGGGGAGGAAGGUGCCUCCCCCUAGCCCAGGCUGAACUUGUUGCACUGACAAAAAACCAAAGAGAAGCAGAGGGUUUCAAUUCCCAUGCCAAAGUGGGUCCACCCCUCAGCGGGCUUGGCUCCCCUCCAGCCUCAGCAGCCCUUGACCUAACCCAGCACCAGGCUGGACGGCAGCUCCUGGACACUGCCCAAGCCCUUCCGGAGCAUGUCCUCUGCUAGGAGGCCCCACUCCAGCCGGCGGAUCUGUGCCAGUCCAGGGGCGACUGGGCCCUGGCAACAGAACAAAAGGGAAGACAAGGUAGUAUCUUUUUCUUCAAAUCAAACUUCCUCAAUUUAAAGUCUUUAUUCAGAGCUCAUCUUUACUGAGUGUAUGUCUGAGUUAAAAUGUCCUUUGAUGAAAUCAUGGGAUUUUUUGGUUACUUGGUAGGGGCUGGGGCGGUACUUCUGUGGUAGAGCACUUGCCUAGCGUGUGUGAGGCACUGGAUUCAAUCCUCAGCACCACAUAAAAAUAAAUAAAUAAUAAAUGACAGAAUACCACCAUUUAAGAAAAUUAUUACUUGAUAGAAUUAAAAUAGGGCAGUUCUGUGUCCCUCCACAGGGUUUUAGAGGUAGUUUCAUCUACUGGGUACAAGGGUAUCAUACUCUUCUCUCUACUUCUGAGUAUGUUUGAAAAUAUCAAAAAUGUGUACUUUUUAAAAAGUCUGGAUGGACUGAAAAGUUAAACAUUAAAAAUUAAGCUACGAAAGGAUCGGGAGGGAAAGGGAGAGGGUGGUGACCCAUAUACUCCACAACUUUUAGGGUGUAGAGGUUGAUCUGUGUGAAUGCAAAGCAUUCCCUCGCUCUAGGCCUGUCUGUGGCUCCCCAUUAGCCACAAGAGAAGGGCUGACAUCAGAUACUCCCCCAGGAAGCCCUCCCUGACUGCAGUCCUUCCAGCUAGGUUAGAAAUGCUCCAUAAUUGGUGAGUACGGGGUCACUUACCAUGAGUGAAGUGUGUCAUCUCAUUUAAUUACAGGGCACACAUCUUUGUGACCCAGCUGAGGAGGAGCUUGAAGCAGACACUGGCAGAUCCUCUGCUGAUGGAAUGAGUGAAAUGGACACAGGAGUCCCUCAAUGGACAGCACAGAUAGCAGAUUCCAGCCCAGCUGCCCCUCCUACCCUGGGGCCAGCCAUCCUCUUAGGGACCAACUGUGGCCCGGGGCUCCCUGUAGCCUGUCUCAACUCUUUUGUGUCUGUGCGGUGUUGGGGUUCAAACCUAGGGCCUCGUGCAUGCCAGGAAAACACUACCACUGAACUACACCCUCAACCUUGUCUGAUUGUUUUAAUUUUUUUGGUACUGGGGAUUGAAUCCAGGGGCACUUAACCAUUGAGUUACAUCCCCAGCCUUUAUAAUAUUUGAGACAAGGUCUCCCUAACUUGCUUAAGGCUUUACUAAGUUGAGGCUGGCUUUGAAAAACUUGGGAUCCUCCUCAGCCUCCUGAGUCACUGGGAUCACAGGUGAUACCUGCUAUUCUUGCUUGACUCUAUCGUUUCUAAAGAAUAGGCAGAACUUCUUCUGCCCAGGGGCCCUCCCUGGCUCCCACUGCCUGGGCCUAACCCCAAGGUUUCUUUGUUUGACUUGCAAGACCUCUGUAAAUCCCUCCUGACCUGCUUCCUGUUCUCUUUCCCCAGACCUAUGGUCACCCUGACCUUGUCCUCCACCAAAUGCACUGUACCACCUGCUUUCCCUGGCAUGCCCACUCCCACCCAGGUCAUCUGCCUGUAUGUCCCCCUCCCUAACUGCAUCAACUUGCCUCAGUUUUGACUGUUUCUUACUAGCUGUGUGAUCUUGAAUAAAGCCUCUAGCCUCUCCGAGCAGUAGCAUUGAUGUGAACAAUAUCUGUCUUUGUUUGCUGCCUCCCUAGAUACCCAGUAUCACUCAGGGCAUGGACCCCAGUAGGUAUUAUCACCUGCACUUCACAGAGAAGACCAGGAGAAUCAGAGAGGUCAUAUCACCUAGCCCAGGUCAC
Molecule: long non-coding RNA, 2028 nt
Filed under: Marmota monax (woodchuck)
Lineage: Eukaryota; Metazoa; Chordata; Mammalia; Rodentia; Sciuridae
Source: RNAcentral